UCCGGAGGAUGCAGUCGUUAUCCGGAUUCAUUGGGUUUAAAGGGUGCGUAGGCGGAAUAAUAAGUCAGUGGUGAAAGCCUGCGGCUUAACCGUAGAAUUGCCAUUGAUACUGUUAUUCUUGAGUAUAGUUGAGGUGGGCGGAAUGUGUAAUGUAGCGGUGAAAUGCUUAGAUAUUACACAGAACACCAAUUGCGAAGGCAGCUCACUAAGCUGUUACUGACGCUGAGGCACGAAAGCGUGGGGAGAAAACAGG
This 253-nucleotide ribosomal RNA is filed under the name uncultured bacterium. Its description in RNAcentral is "partial 16S ribosomal RNA". It matches the Rfam family "Bacterial small subunit ribosomal RNA", at positions 524 to 776 of the family's 1533-position model. The record is from RNAcentral.